AAAGAGGGAGGGAGAGAAGGAUAAAGAGAGACACCUGUAGCCCUGUUUCACUGCUUGCGAGUCUUCCCUCCCUGAAGGAAAGAGAUCUCAGGCCCAGAACUAUUUCCUCUUGUCUUGCCUCUUCCAGUCUACUGAAAACCUCAUCUUGCACAGCUCAUUAGAGACCCUCUCUACAGCUGUAAGGGAUGCUGUUGAGCCUGGAUCUACCCUGGGAAUGGACUUGAGUGCCAGUAGAAUCUGGCAGCGGAGAUCUGAGCUGCUGUUAAACAGGGCCUGAGAAGAAGGGAGGUGGGUGAAGUGGCUCCCCACUAC
Erinaceus europaeus (western European hedgehog) is the source of this 312-nucleotide long non-coding RNA. RefSeq lists it as uncharacterized. The record is from RefSeq and is a predicted model, not a curated record. Lineage: Eukaryota; Metazoa; Chordata; Mammalia; Eulipotyphla; Erinaceidae. The transcript has 3 exons.